CACGCCGUAAACGAUGAGUGCUAAGUGUUGGAGGGUUUCCGCCCUUCAGUGCUGCAGCUAACGCAUUAAGCACUCCGCCUGGGGAGUACGGCCGCAAGGCUGAAACUCAAAGGAAUUGACGGGGGCCCGCACAAGCGGUGGAGCAUGUGGUUUAAUUCGAAGCAACGCGAAGAACCUUACCAGGUCUUGACAUCCUUUGACCACUCUAGAGAUAGAGCUUUCCCUUCGGGGACAAAGUGACAGGUGG
Molecule: ribosomal RNA, 247 nt
Filed under: uncultured Vagococcus sp.
Lineage: Bacteria; Bacillati; Bacillota; Bacilli; Lactobacillales; Enterococcaceae
Description: partial 16S ribosomal RNA
Rfam family: Bacterial small subunit ribosomal RNA
Source: RNAcentral